UACGUAGGGUGCGAGCGUUAAUCGGAAUUACUGGGCGUAAAGCGUGCGCAGGCGGUUGUACAAGACAGGUGUGAAAUCCCCGGGCUUAACCUGGGAACUGCACUUGUGACUGUACGACUGGAGUACGGCAGAGGGGGAUGGAAUUCCGCGUGUAGCAGUGAAAUGCGUAGAUAUCAGGAGGAAUACCGAUGGCGAAGGCAGGUCUCUGGGCUGACACUGACGCUCAUGCACGAAGGCGUGGGGAGCAAACAGG
RNAcentral lists this ribosomal RNA (253 nucleotides) under uncultured bacterium. Its description in RNAcentral is "partial 16S ribosomal RNA". It matches the Rfam family "Bacterial small subunit ribosomal RNA", at positions 524 to 776 of the family's 1533-position model. The record is from RNAcentral.